Molecule: long non-coding RNA, 374 nt
Filed under: Gallus gallus (chicken)
Lineage: Eukaryota; Metazoa; Chordata; Aves; Galliformes; Phasianidae
Description: lncRNA (ENSGALG00010019073.1)
Source: RNAcentral
CGACAGAGACGUGAUGGAGAUCACCUCCCCUGGGUUCUGGGCUACAUGCAUCUGAUGAAGCUGUCAACCAUGAGUUGCUGAAGACCUCCCAGAGCCAUCGUUCUGGCAGAGACCAAAGGUUCAAAGCAGCAUCCACUGCUCCAGAGCCUGAAGACCUCACCACCCAUAAACACCAGGAAGAACAAAGGGCUGCCCGCAGGGAGUUGAUGGGUGGCACAAAAGCUCCUCAAUGCAGGGAUUUUGCCAUCUCCAGAACACAUCUCCAACAGCGUGUCGUCAGACCUUACAGACAUAAAUGCCUACAGCACAUCAGAGAGCCCCAGUCACCCCAUCCAAUGGGAGCACUGAUGUGCACACGUGGGAAGCGCAGCCAU